CCCUCACUUGUGGCAGUUCUGCCAUAAUGCACAGGAUUGAUGUUCCAUCCACGUGUCUACUCAUCACAUCAAAACCUGUAACAGAGCCUGGAAUGCAGAAGACCUUUAAUUAACAUUAUAGGCCCCAUCGCAUGACAUUUUUG
This 143-nucleotide long non-coding RNA is filed under the name Cavia porcellus (domestic guinea pig). RNAcentral describes it as "lncRNA (ENSCPOG00000039528.1)". Lineage: Eukaryota; Metazoa; Chordata; Mammalia; Rodentia; Caviidae. The record is from RNAcentral.